GAGCCCUGUUCACCAGCACAUACACAAAAUUUGGAACAAUACAGAGGUGAUUGGCAUGGCCCCGUGCAGAAAUGACAUGCAAAAGUUUUUGGAAUGUUUUGUAUCUUA
RNAcentral lists this small nuclear RNA (108 nucleotides) under Carlito syrichta (Philippine tarsier). The record is from RNAcentral. Lineage: Eukaryota; Metazoa; Chordata; Mammalia; Primates; Tarsiidae.